This 353-nucleotide ribosomal RNA is filed under the name Hemidactylus mercatorius. Its description in RNAcentral is "partial small subunit ribosomal RNA". It matches the Rfam family "Bacterial small subunit ribosomal RNA", at positions 801 to 1357 of the family's 1533-position model. The record is from RNAcentral. Lineage: Eukaryota; Metazoa; Chordata; Lepidosauria; Squamata; Gekkonidae.
GUAAACCAAGGCAGUUCCUAAACCCACUGCUCGCCAGAGAACUACAAGUAAAAAACUUAAAACUCAAAGGACUUGACGGCAUACCAUAUCACCCUAGAGGAGCCUGUCCUAUAAUCGAUAACCCACGAUACACCUCACCUGUUCUUGCUCCAUGCUCAGCCUAUAUACCGCCGCCUUCAGCCCGCCUUACAAAAGCACAAACAGCGAGCAAAACAGCCAUCACUAAUACGCCAGGUCAAGGUGUAGCCAAUGAACAGGAAGAGAUGGGCUACAUUUUCUAGCUUAGACAACACCUACAACAACAUGAAACACCCGCCUAAAGGUGGAUUAGAAGUAAGCCAGGCAAGAUACGC